RNAcentral lists this ribosomal RNA (253 nucleotides) under uncultured bacterium. Its description in RNAcentral is "partial 16S ribosomal RNA". It matches the Rfam family "Bacterial small subunit ribosomal RNA", at positions 524 to 776 of the family's 1533-position model. The record is from RNAcentral.
UACAGAGGGUGCAAGCGUUGUUCGGAAUUAUUGGGCGUAAAGGGCGCGUAGGCGGUGCUGUAAGUCUGUGGUGAAAUCUCUGGGCUCAACUCAGAGUCUGCCAUAGAAACUGCAGUGCUGGAGUGUGGGAGAGGUGAGUGGAAUUCCAGGUGUAGCGGUGAAAUGCGUAGAUAUUGGGAGGAACACCAGUGGCGAAGGCGGCUCACUGGACCGGAACUGACGCUGAGGCGCGAAAGCGUGGGGAGCAAACGGG